This 66-nucleotide transfer RNA is filed under the name Gallotia atlantica (Atlantic lizard). RNAcentral's name for it is "tRNA-His". It matches the Rfam family "tRNA". From Rfam's summary of the family: Transfer RNA (tRNA) molecules are approximately 80 nucleotides in length. Their secondary structure includes four short double-helical elements and three loops (D, anti-codon, and T loops). The record is from RNAcentral. Lineage: Eukaryota; Metazoa; Chordata; Lepidosauria; Squamata; Lacertidae.
GUGAGCAUAGUUUAAAAAAAACACUAGAUUGUGACUCUAAAGACAGAAACCUUAUUCUUGCACACC